GGGUGUGAGAGCAAUCUGGCGGUGACAUCUGUUACCCCAUUGAUCACCAGGGUUGACUCAGCUAAUCUGGCCGUCUAGGAGGGUGUCCCCUUCCUCCCUCACUGUUCCAUGUGCAUCCCUCCCAGAGCUGCACACUAGAUCAAAGAGGACAGCCUUCCUGGAAUAGAGGAGGAACUGGUCUUGAGGUAGGGGUACAGGAAUAGCUGUGCUCCCCUGCUACAACCUCCAAACAAGCUCUCGGAAAUCAAAUGAGCUGGGGCUCUACCACAUCCACCCAAAUCAAUCCUAACUGGCUGCACAACUUCAGUCCUAGCCCAGUCA
Molecule: small nuclear RNA, 321 nt
Filed under: Peromyscus maniculatus bairdii (prairie deer mouse)
Lineage: Eukaryota; Metazoa; Chordata; Mammalia; Rodentia; Cricetidae
Description: 7SK RNA (ENSPEMG00000004476.2)
Rfam family: 7SK RNA
About the family: 7SK was discovered as an abundant small nuclear RNA in the mid-70s but a possible function has only recently been suggested. Two independent studies have found that 7SK RNA binds the CDK9/cyclin T complex (known as elongation factor P-TEFb).
Source: Rfam by way of RNAcentral